Molecule: ribosomal RNA, 468 nt
Filed under: uncultured bacterium
Lineage: Bacteria
Description: partial 16S ribosomal RNA
Rfam family: Bacterial small subunit ribosomal RNA
Source: RNAcentral
GACGAACGCUGGCGGCGUGCUUAACACAUGCAAGUCGAACGGAAAGGCCCUGCUUUUGUGGGGUGCUCGAGUGGCGAACGGGUGAGUAACACGUGAGUAACCUGCCCUUGACUUUGGGAUAACUUCAGGAAACUGGGGCUAAUACCGGACAUGAGCUCCUGCUGCAUGUUGGGGGUUUGAAAGUUUCGGCGGUUGGGGAUGGACUCGCGGCUUAUCAGCUUGUUGGUGGGGUAGUGGCUUACAAAGGCUUUGACGGGUAGCCGGCCUGCGAGGGUGACAGGCCACAUUGGGACUGAGGUACGGCCCAGACUCCUACGGGAGGCAGCAGUGGGGAAUAUUGCACAAUGGGCGGAAGCCUGAUGCAGCAACGCCGCGUGCGGGAUGACGGCCUUCGGGUUGUAAACCGCUUUCGCCUGUGACGAAGCGUGAGUGACGGUAAUGGGUAAAGAAGCACCGGCUAACUACGUG